This 1606-nucleotide long non-coding RNA is filed under the name Triticum aestivum (bread wheat). RNAcentral describes it as "long non-coding RNA (TAES_LNC010829)". The record is from RNAcentral. Lineage: Eukaryota; Viridiplantae; Streptophyta; Magnoliopsida; Poales; Poaceae.
UACCGCCGCUGCCGCAGAUCUAGGCGCCCUAUUUAAUUUCGUCUAAGCCAGCCGCUCAGUGUUGGGGGAGGGAAAGGGAAGCCGGACCAGUUCGUUCGUUCGUUCGUUCCGGCCGUGUGGAUUGGACGUUUCAAAACAAGAAAUCGCAAGCUUAGCUACACAGAGAAAGGCCACCAGUAGUUAUUAUUAUAUAGAGAGAAAGGAAGGAGCUGCACCGUCUUGAGACCUUUGAGAGUGUGUGUCGAGCGGAGGAAGACGAGGAGGCAGCCAGGUGAGGCCGGCGAAGCUCGCAGCCAGCUCUCGUGCUUGCCUUGGUGACAUUCAUCGAGCUCUCGUCCAUGCCGCUUUGGCGGUGUCUCGCCUGCCCGCCCUCUGCUGCGUGCAUGUGCGUAUGAUCUUUCGGUCUAAAGCCAGGUCUUGUACAUGUCGUCCUUGUAUGCAGCACCUUCGAUUUCUUUAGCAUUUCCGCCUCUGAGAAGUUGCUCUGGGCGCCCCAAAGCAGGCCACGGCUGGCCUAGCUAGCUUCCCUUGCUUUUGCUUUCUUCCCGUUGGAGCCUCGGUCGCUCACACGCACUUGCCUUUUCUUCUUGCUGAGCAGGAGGUAGCAGGCAGCCGGGGGCACGGCGCAUCGCAUGGAGGAGAGAGUGAAAAGAGGAAGAGCAGGAGAAGGUGAGGGCGAAGAAGCGAGCCUAACGGAAAGGAGCCUUGGGGCGGGCCCACCGGCCCUGAGGUGAGGGGAAGGGAGGGAGGGGUGGGAGGAGGAGGAGGCGGAGGAUCUCCUCUCACGUCAAAGGUGGGGGAAAGCAUAAAGGAGGAAGGAGGAAGAGAAGGUGGUGGAGAGGAGAAAGCCAGCUGCUUCACUGAGUGAGCAAGGAUAGAGUGUGAGUGAGUGUGGGAGUGAGCGAGUGACACCUCUCCCCCUAUGUAGAGCUGUAGAGCGUGAGCUUGAGGGCAUCCUGUUCUUCCACCACCAUUUCGUCGCCCAGCCACUACAGUCGGUCGGCGUGCUGGUGGAGUUGAAGAGGAGGAGACGCCAUGGCAUUGCAGGAGCAGGAAGAAGACGAAGAUGAAGGAGAAGACGGCGAGGAAGAUGGGAUCAUGACGAGGAGGGUGCUGUGGUGGGGGAGGAGCUGCUGCUGAUUUCCUCCCCUGUCUGACCCGAGGCGCGCUGCCUGCUCCGGAGUAGUAGUAAGAUAUUGGCACAAUAGGCUCAAUCACUUUUUCUUUCCCCUUGUUUUGCUGUUUUUGCGCUCCUUUCCCCGUUCAGUCCAUUGAUGAUUCCAUACUCUUCCCCCUGUAAUUUCUUUUCCCCCCGCUGCCCCUUUUGAUCUGUUGUUCUUGGUGGUUUCCCCGAUUCGGAACGGAAAAGGCUUUGGCAAACGCAAAAGAGGAGCGGCAGCUAGCAGUAAGUACUCUCACUGUGCGCUUCAGGAGCAUGGCAAAUCUCCGCCCGAGCCUUGUCCCGUCCCCUUUGUUUCUUGCGCUCGUCCGUCCGUCCGUCCGUUCGUUCUCAUCCACAGGCCAUAUCGAUCGAUCGGUCGACCGGCUGCCCGCAUGUGCCGUGCCGCCGCUGUUCUGGAUUCAACCCGCACAGUGGGUGGGCGAU